RNAcentral lists this long non-coding RNA (1713 nucleotides) under Gallus gallus (chicken). RNAcentral describes it as "lncRNA (ENSGALG00010001671.1)". The record is from RNAcentral. Lineage: Eukaryota; Metazoa; Chordata; Aves; Galliformes; Phasianidae.
UCUAUCUCUGCUGUUGUUUCAAGUCGCCCUCAGUGUAUCCUUUUGGGAAUGAAAGAAUGCGUUGGUUGCAUAUUCCUUGAAGAGUUGCAGCUUUUUUCCCCGUGCAGAACAAGGUGCUGAAUGCCUCUGCUUCUUCCUCUGACGUUUAACGCAGUGUUUAACAAAGGGAUGGUGCGGCCACGAGGAGCAACUUCGUAGGCGGUGAGGCCGAAUGUCACACUGUGCUGAGGGGGCACGUGGGCUCGUGGAGAGGUGUUGGGAAAUGAAUCACCAGUUUUCUGCACAGAGCUGAAGACGUGAGCAAAGCUCAGAAAAAUAAUGGAAAUAAGAAGCAUCAGCUCUAAUAAGAAAGCACUGCGAGUCCUGAUGGAUUGAGAACAAAACCUUCCACACAGAAAGAGAAAACAGCGCAGGAAAAUGCCCUUUUCCCCCAGUUGACAGAAGCACGUACACAGCAGGAAAACUGCAGCUCGCCCACGGCAGCUCUGUGUCCCUCAGCUCUGCUCCACUCUACAAAGUGAUGUCAUCAUGUACUGCUUUAGUCCUGAGGUGCCUCCAAUGGCCGCUGUGCCAUCUCAGCUGCUCUUCAGAGCUUCUGCAAAUGAACUCCAUCUCUAUCUCCACAGCAACAACUCACAAACAGAGGCCUAUGACUUCAGCUGAGGAGCAUGCAGCAGGCAUUGAUGAGCUGCCAAGCAACGAAGAUUUGGUUUCAGGGUGGAUGCAGAAGCCAGAUAGUGACAUUUUUCUUGGGUUUUUGUCUGCCCUCCUUCCGGUGAAUUCCCACUGAAGAUAAUUUGGGCUCCGAGAGAAGAAACCCCUCCCCGGGAACUUGUUAUUUCAGUAACAGCUGAGUAAGGCCCAUGGAGGUCUUCAGGCUUCAGACAACCCUUUGGAAGCAAUAAUAACAGCAAGGAAAGAAACAAGAUGGAAAGCAUGGCCCGUGGCCAUCGAUCUACCCAGGCAGUUUGCUGCUGGUGGCACUUCAGCUGGAUGCAAAACCAGCACGAAAAAAAAAACCAAACCACGAUCCAAGUACAAGGUGCCAACAAGUUCAUCUUUAAUUAGCAGUUAAUUAGUUGUUUUGCUCAUUCGUCAGAGCACGAAUGUUUCCCAGCUGUGUAUCUAAACAGUAUUCCUCAGCCUUUCAGGCCCCCCUGUGAUCCCUGCAUCACUGAACAGCCCUGGAGUUCCCUCCAUUCCCCCCGUGGGUGCAGUCCCGCAGCCAUGGGAGCUCUCAGUGGGGGCGAUGCUCUGCGGUGCCUCAGUUCCAGCCCUGCUCUGUGCUCCCUGCCCAGCACUGCAGGGCUUUCCAGUCCUCCUACACGAGAGAGCAAUGCUUUCUCUGAAGCGUCCUUAGGCAGCCUACCUGCCUGGUGAAGGAUGACUAUUCCUAAAUGGCUUUGCAGUCUUUUGAAAAACCAGUCAUGAAAUAAUUGAGUCAAGCUUUCGUGAAAUAGAUCUUAAUUUUAUUCUAUGGAUGUCAUAGAUCUGAAAUUCUCAAAUGCUGAUGAACUUCCGUACAAACGCUUUAUGAUACUGGAAGUUCCCAGUGCUUGCAGUGCAGUCCUGCAGCGGUGUGGUGUUGGCAUAAGAACAAAUGGGAGGAGAGCGUUAAGAGAAUGUAAAAUAAAGAUAACUCUGAAGUAAACCCAAACAGUAGCCAACCAAUUACCUUAUCAUUCCCACUUUGCAGCUCGGGCAGAAUUUAUU